GAUGAACGCUGGCGGUAUGCUUAACACAUGCAAGUCGAACGGACUCUUCGGAGUUAGUGGCGGACGGGUGAGUAACGCGUGAGAAUCUGGCUUUGGGUUCGGGACAGCCACUGGAAACGGUGGCUAAUACCGGAUGUGCCGAGAGGUAAAAGAGAAAUUGCCUGAAGAUGAGCUCGCGUCUGAUUAGCUAGUUGGUGAGGUAAAGGCUCACCAAGGCAGCGAUCAGUAGCUGGUCUGAGAGGAUGACCAGCCACACUGGGACUGAGACACGGCCCAGACUCCUACGGGAGGCAGCAGUGGGGAAUUUUCCGCAAUGGGCGAAAGCCUGACGGAGCAAUACCGCGUGAGGGAAGAAGGCUCUUGGGUUGUAAACCUCUUUUCUUAGGGAAGAACAAAAUGACGGUACCUAAGGAAUCAGCAUCGGCUAACUCCGUG
Molecule: ribosomal RNA, 435 nt
Filed under: uncultured bacterium
Lineage: Bacteria
Description: partial 16S ribosomal RNA
Rfam family: Bacterial small subunit ribosomal RNA
Source: RNAcentral